RNAcentral lists this non-coding RNA (225 nucleotides) under Magnetospirillum sp. SS-4. The record is from RNAcentral. Lineage: Bacteria; Pseudomonadati; Pseudomonadota; Alphaproteobacteria; Rhodospirillales; Rhodospirillaceae.
AAUUAUAGUGGCCGCGAUGGUUCCCGGUGCCGGAUAGGCUCCGGGUGAAAAUGGGAACGACGGUGCGGCACCCGAAAAGGGGGCCAAAUCCGUGACUGCCCCCGCAACUGUAGGCGGAGAGGGUUCGGCCCCGGAGAUCGCCACUGGCUGGAAAACGGCUGGGAAGGCUAUGCCGAACCUCAUGACCCGCGAGUCAGGAGACCUGCCAUCACGAGAGUCGUUGCG